UAGGGAUCUGCCCUGUAGUGGGGGACAACCCGGGGAAACUCGGGCUAAUACCGCAUACUACUCUGAGGAGGAAAGCUGGGAGCAAUCCUGGCGCUAUGGGAGGAACCCGCGUCCGAUUAGCUAGCUGGUGAGGUAAAGGCUCACCAGGGCGAUGAUCGGUAGCUGGUCUGAGAGGAUGACCAGCCACACUGGGACUGAGACACGGCCCAGACUCCUACGGGAGCAG
Molecule: ribosomal RNA, 226 nt
Filed under: uncultured bacterium
Lineage: Bacteria
Description: partial 16S ribosomal RNA
Rfam family: Bacterial small subunit ribosomal RNA
Source: RNAcentral